This 329-nucleotide ribosomal RNA is filed under the name uncultured bacterium. Its description in RNAcentral is "bacterial SSU rRNA". It matches the Rfam family "Bacterial small subunit ribosomal RNA", at positions 568 to 898 of the family's 1533-position model. The record is from RNAcentral.
CGCGUAGGUGGUAGUGCAAGUCUGAGGUGGAAUCUUAGGGCUUAACCCUAAAAUUGCCUUGGAAACUGCAUUACUUGAGUCAGUGAGGGGAGGGUAGAAUUCCUGGUGUAGCGGUGAAAUGCGUAGAUAUCAGGAGGAAGGCCGGUGGCGAAGGCGGCCCUCUGGCGCUGAACUGACACUGAGGCGCGAAAGCGUGGGGAGCAAACAGGAUUAGAUACCCUGGUAGUCCACGCCCUAAACGGUGGGUACUAGGUGUAGGGCUCGUAAGGGUUCUGUGCCGAAGCGAAAGCAUUAAGUACCCCGCUGGGGAGUACGGCCGCAAGGUUGAA